CUUCAUGCACCUACUACUGUUCAUUGGACUGCUGCCAAGCGCAUAGUGAGAUAUGUGAAAGAUACUAUGAGUCUUGGUCUUACAUUCACCAAAUCUUCAUCAACUCUUGUCAGUGCUUUUUCUGACUCUGAUUGGGCAGGAUGUAUAGAUGACAGACGCUCCACUGGUGGAUUUGCAGUUUUCUUUGGACCGAAUCUUAUAUCAUGGUGUGCAAAGAAACAAGCUACUGUAUCACGAUCUAGCAUUGAAGCUGAGUAUAAAGCAUUAGCAAAUGGCACCGCUGAGAUUAUCUGGGUUCAGUCCAUGUUGAGAGAGUUGGGUGUGAAGCAC
This 330-nucleotide ribosomal RNA is filed under the name Triticum aestivum (bread wheat). Its description in RNAcentral is "partial small subunit ribosomal RNA". The record is from RNAcentral. Lineage: Eukaryota; Viridiplantae; Streptophyta; Magnoliopsida; Poales; Poaceae.